RNAcentral lists this ribosomal RNA (495 nucleotides) under uncultured bacterium. Its description in RNAcentral is "partial 16S ribosomal RNA". It matches the Rfam family "Bacterial small subunit ribosomal RNA", at positions 28 to 507 of the family's 1533-position model. The record is from RNAcentral.
GACGAACGCUGGCGGCGUGCCUAAUACAUGCAAGUAGAACGCUGAAGCAGGAGCUUGCUUCUCUGGAUGAGUUGCGAACGGGUGAGUAACGCGUAGGUAACCUGCCUGUUAGCGGGGGAUAACUAUUGGAAACGAUAGCUAAUACCGCAUAAUAUUUACUAUUGCAUGAUAGUCAGUUGAAAGGUGCAACUGCACCACUACCAGAUGGACCUGCGUUGUUUUAGCUAGUUGGUGGGGUAACGGCUCACCAAGGCGACGAUACUUAGACGACCUGCGAGGGGGAGAGGCCACACUGGGACAGAGACACGGCGCAGAGUCCUACGGGAGGGAGCAGAAGGGAAACUGCGGCAAGGGGGGGAAGACUGAGAGAGAAACGCGGCGUGAGGGAAGAAGGGGUUCGGAUCGUAAAGCACUGUUGUAAGAGAAGAAAGAGUGUGAGAGUGGAAAGCUCACAAUGUGACGGUAACUUACCAGAAAGGAACGGCUAACUAAGUG